This 83-nucleotide transfer RNA is filed under the name Promethearchaeota archaeon. RNAcentral's name for it is "Candidatus Lokiarchaeota archaeon tRNA-Ser". It matches the Rfam family "tRNA". Rfam says of the family: Transfer RNA (tRNA) molecules are approximately 80 nucleotides in length. The record is from RNAcentral. Lineage: Archaea; Promethearchaeati; Promethearchaeota.
GCAGGUGUAGCCUAGUUGGUAAGACGCUGGCCUUGAGAGCCAGUGCGCGAAAGCGCUCGGGGGUUCGAGUCCCUCCACCUGCG